RNAcentral lists this ribosomal RNA (376 nucleotides) under uncultured bacterium. RNAcentral's name for it is "bacterial SSU rRNA". It matches the Rfam family "Bacterial small subunit ribosomal RNA", at positions 30 to 407 of the family's 1533-position model. The record is from RNAcentral.
AUUGAACGCUGGCGGCAUGCCUUACACAUGCAAGUCGAACGGCAGCACGGGGCAACCUGGUGGCGAGUGGCGAACGGGUGAGUAAUGCAUCGGAACGUGCCAUUGAGUGGGGGAUAACGUAGCGAAAGUUGCGCUAAUACCGCAUAUUCUGUGAGCAGGAAAGCAGGGGACCGCAAGGCCUUGCGCUCUUUGAGCGGCCGAUGUCAGAUUAGCUAGUUGGUGAGGUAACGGCUUACCAAGGCGACGAUCUGUAGCGGGUCUGAGAGGAUGAUCCGCCACACUGGAACUGAGACACGGUCCAGACUCCUACGGGAGGCAGCAGUGGGGAAUUUUGGGACAAUGGGCGCAAGCCUGAUCCAGCCAUGCCGCGUGAGUG